UUCUGGUCAGAUGGCGAGCUACUCUUGCUCGCCGUCCGCUGACCCGCACUCUUCCGGUGGCCGGAGAUCGUCCCGCGAUCCCCGACGCCCGGAGUGUCCCUCGCGAUGAGGUCCGUUCCUUCACGCGCCCAGCCUCCUCCGUAGCUAGUAUGACUGUCGCCGAAGUAAGAGACGGCAUCCCAGACCCUCUCGCUUCGCACAAUGGCCUGAACCAAUACCGGACGCGAGAAGUCACCGUCGCCGACCACAUCCCUGAGGACACGACGGUGCUCAGCCCAUACAGGGCACUCCGCCACCGUGUCCUCCGGGCGUUUCCUCGCGCCCAAAUAGGAACUUACCGAAGCUCCCAUGUCCGGUAACCACUUACGUCAGAUGGAAGGUGAGGACGCCGUGGUGGCGCCUCUCUAACUACUCUUCAAAGAGUGGACUUACCGCUGCGAAACAGCGACAGUUGUUGCUGCCAUUCCGUCAUGAGAUCGCGCAGGGCUCGUCCCGCAACGCACUGAUCUGGCAUGGCAGUGAAAUUUUACACCGGCGAUGUGCGUCGGCGCGCAAACUGAAGAUGUGCGCAAGCACCUUUGACUCAAAAUCCCACGGCGGUAAUCCGGCAAAGAGGUUCGCUGCGUCACCCGCGUAUCACCCGGAUGGCCAUGACCCUCUGACAUAGUACCUCUGCGGUGAGCAGCACCCGAGAAAAACUACAUCCUGCAACUACAUUUUGAAAAGUUUUGACACCGUUUCUGUCCCAAUCCUUUUAGACAAGCUUGAACGCGUCGGAAUAGGAGGUACCUCUCAAAAGAUUUUUUUUUAUUUUAUUUUUUUACGUUGACACAACCUCACAACUACUUUACCGCUGUAACUCCUGUUGCCAAGCACCACGGAAAUUUGACUUAAAACUAAGUGGGUCCUAUGUGUGAGCUGUUAUACUUGCUUCCAAUAAUAGUUAUGGCAAAAACGCCUAAGCGCACGGAAAUUUGUUCUAGACUCCACAAGAUAGUUUAUAAAAAGAACAAUAAUUAUGCAAUGAUAAUCUACCAUCUUCUUAAAAUGCCAAACAAUCAUCGCUCUAAAUAAACUUUAUGUGAAACGAAAUUGUGCAAAAUUCAGCUUUGCCAAAAGUAAUUAUGCCAAAUAAAAUUCUACCAUCUUAAAAGUAUGCUUUUGUAAAUUCGGACAUAUAAACAUUCGGCAAAACAAUAAUUAUAUUAAAUGAUUUUUAUGCCAUAUGUAUAUUCGUUUAAAGAAGAUUCUGCCAAGUGUGUUAUGCCAAACAAAUUUCGGAGCAUUAAAAUUCUGCCAGAUAGAGGGAUCCCAUUUGGGUUUGGUAUCGAUCCAGUAACACCCCGUGCUAUUUAUUCUUUCAAUAUUUUAUAAUGUACAGAAUUGACCUUUCUUCAGAUUUAUUAUAAUAUGAAUGAAUGAAUGAAUGAGAGUUUAUAAACGUAAGAGUAGACAAAUAUAAUCAGAAAGCUCCGAACUGCUAAGCUAUCGGGAGUUAUACGUGUUAUUGUGAGACAACCAUAAAAGACAGACAUUUGCUGUCCCGGAAUAUUUUUUAAAUAAUAUUAUUUUAAGGAGAACAUUUCCGUCAUACUUGAUUUCUGUGUAGCUUUAACCAUUAAGGCAGCACAGGCGACGGAAGCUUAAAAAUGGAGUAAGUUCUCCUGUUUUUCCAACAUUUCCAUUUACUGCUCUACUUCUAUUGAUCGUAGCGUGAUAAAGUAUGGUAACCUGCCCAGGAGUAUGAAGAACAAUUGUACCAAGUUUCAUUGAAAUCUGUCGAGUGGUUUUGUUUCUAUAAGGAACAUACAUACAUACAGACAGACAGACAAAAAAAUUCUGAUUGCAUUUUUGGCGGCAGUAUCGAUCACUAAUCACCCGCUGAUAGUUAUUUUGGAAAGUGUAGAUAUAGAUAACCUACUAGUUUAGAAGAGCUGCAUAUCAUCAUAACUUGUUAAAUAGGUACUUACUAGGCAAUAGGCAAAUAGGCAAUUAAAAGCUUCAAAAUAACUUAUUAUAUGUUAUCGGUUUACUCACGUAACUGUUUGGCGAGGAACUCGACUUCAAAAUAACAUUUAAAGUAAGUCUUUAAUCCUCUUAUUUAGGGCGCUAGGAACAAAUAAAUAGCUUUUUCGAUUAAAUGAAAUAACUUUCAAACUAUACAUUAUUUUUGUGUUUUUAUUAAACAACACAAAUUUAAACUAAUUCGUAAGAAGUCAUGUGCGAAAUAUUAUAAGAAUCCACUUAACCGUUUCAGAGAUCCAGCAAAAUCUCGAAUAACUUUGCAACCGAAGAUAGAUCAAGGAUGAAAUAAAGCGGAACAUUUACCUCACAAACGGCACUAAUUGUUUAGGUAGUAUUUAUAUCAAAAUUCCCAUUAAAAAGAAAAAGAUCUGGCUGUGGUAACGUUACCCCAGCAGGAAGUGUUUUCUGAAAUAUCUAAAAAAAAACUGUGCGGCACAAUUACAGAAGCCGGAGCACUAAAAAUCUGUAAGAUUGAAAUGGUCACAUUUGACAACAUCUGGCUCGGAUAACGGACAAAAAUAUUACAAUAUGAAACCCUUUUUUGUAGCGUCUUUCGCAUGUUUAUCUAAAUAAUAUUUUUUCGUAAACAAAGUUGUAUGGUAACGAAAAUUAAAAGAAUCAGGUUCACACAAACACUUCGUAAAACCAAGUUAUUUUAUAACUUUAAUAUUAUGUUAUCUUCUUGCUGGUACGGGACCCUUCAUGUGCGAGUCCAACUCGGUAGCCGGUUUUUUUAUAAAACCAGAGCGUACCUGCUGACAUUUGGUUUAUUGGCAACAGCCAACAACACAAUAUGUAACCUAUAGAGAACAAAUGAAAUUGGUCCGCAACUAGGUAGUGAAGUACUACGUAAAGUACUAUUUAUACGUCUCUUAGUUGUAGGGACUAAAAUAAACCCCGGAAACAACAUUUAAAGUCAUACUUUAACAAUUUAUAAAUAUAUCACAAAUAUGAAUAUGCUAUUCCGAUACUGUUUUAAUUAAUUCGCCCGGUAAAGAGCUGUCGAUGUUAUCGGGAUAAAAUAGCGGACGGUUUUGUUGUUUUGGUCCCAAAUUUAUGUACUAUCUCCGUGCAUCCCAGCCCAGCUCUGCCAAACUAGCAAAAUUCUCCUAUAUAAAUUAAGUUAUAGGAUUACGAGUCACAUAAAAAUCAAGUAGACGCAUUAACUCAGGCCACUGAUCCUAUAAAAGCAUUUGUUAAGAUUAUUUCCACUACAAGUACUAUUGAUCCUAUAAUUUGGGUUUAUAAACAUAAUAUAACUACGACGAGACGAGCUUUGUCGAAGGCUCGCGGUGAAAUCUAAAAUAAAAAACCAACUAUUGAAAAAUUACAUAAUUUUCUGGCGAAUAUCAAAUUAGGUAAGUUGGGUAAACAACAUUGGAGGUAGGAAAAAUAUGCAUCAUCCAACUUUCUGUCAUAAAACUAUCCAUAUAGUAUUCUAUAAAAGUGUCUACAAGAGUGUGAUAUUAAAUUAAACUAUAAAUAAGGAAAGUAGCUUAGGAAAUACAAAGUUAAAAAUUUAAAAGUCUAAUAGGGUCGGUCGUUGGAAACUCUGUGAUGUUCCUUAUUAAAUUGAUAUGACGCUGUAAUAAUAGAAUACUUUUAGUAUACAAGAUUUCUGAAUAAGUAGAUUGUCUACUACCUAAUAAAUAUCUAUUGUAGACUUCACUUUGUUUCUCACUAAAAGGUAAGAAAUGAAAGCCUCAACUAGAUUUACAUGAAUGAAAUAUUAAGUUACAGUCGUCGGAAAUAUCCCAAUUACUUAUGCAGUGGUUCAUUGCACUAUUUGUCCGCUUUCGUCCCAUUGAUUUAUGCGAAAACUACUAAUUACUGUGUUGGACUAAAUUCAUUUUAACAAUAUCAUAGAGAUUUAAGAGAUUUAAUUUGGAAAACUGUUUGCAUAGGUGAGGCCUAACGCUUACACAGUUGGGCCAAGAUUUCCCUAAACAAUUGUAGGUAUUAAUGGAGGCUUACCUAUUUUUCUGGUUUUUCAAACACAGGCACUCUUGUUCAACAAGAUUGCCUGUACUUUGAGGGUAAGUAGAUUCGUUUUUAAACAGCUCUUUAUUUGAGUUUCAAUGGCUUUUUCGAUGACGAAAUAUUAGUUCCAACUUUUAAAAGUAAUAGAAUUUUUCGUACUUUUUUAUGGUUAUAUAGACUACACGUACUUUGGUAUCAGCGGAAAUCUUAACCAAUAUAAAAAAUAUUUUGUGAUAUUCCAAAGGUAUUCACUAUCUUGGGUUCCAAAAUUUCUGUGCACACCCCUGGGUUCCAGUAGGGCUGGCGCUUGAUCCGAAGCUGCGGACUACCUACCGGGGCUCCGGCUUGAAAAAUAGGGGUAAGAACGGGGUGGUUUUUAGUCAGUAAGAGUCUGACACCCAUCGUCUCGCCUAAGGCGAGAGAAGUCCUAGGAUGAUUUUCUCCCAUAAAAAAGGCUCCCUAAAUUAAAGUUGGUAAAACAAAUUAUCAUAAUUAUUUUUGUAAACAGUGUGUAGUGGGCGUAAACGUUAAUAAGUGGGCCUUGCAGACGUACUCAACAUCUCAGACUGUCUAAGCAGCUCUUCAAUAUUUUUAUAUUGAGGAACAUAUUGAUAUUUCGUACUUCUUCAUACUUCAUACUAUUCUUCUCAUAAACAAAUAAAAAAAGCAUAUCAAGCCACCCCAAAACUUUAUUUCUUCACUAGCUUUUGCCCGCGACUUCGUCCGCGUUGUUGUGUUAGUGGUUGGUGGUCAAAAUGCUGCCGUAUGUCAUGUAAAAUCUGAAUUACUUGAGAAUAUGUUACUGUUAGCAUUUUUAAAAAUAUGUAUUUUAUAGAGUCCACGACCGCCCGUUCAUCAUUUUAUAAUCAUGAUGAAAAGUAACCAACCACAAUAUAUCUUAUACUAUCAAUAAAAAAAUACAUUGUUUCGUUGUUAUAUUCCAUAAAAAACUUUCGUGUAAGCGUAACCUCAAGACAAACAGGGUUACUUUCGCAUUAAUAGUAUGGUAGUAGGGAUUUUGGCGAUUAAAAUAAAUAGGUAGGUACGAAUCAAACGCGAGUGAAGCCACAGGUAUUAACAAAAAUGACGAAUUUUCAAGCAAACAUUAAUCUCCUCUAUCAGCCAUUCUACGCCUUCAAUUAACAAUGUGUUGAUCUAAAGUAUUUAAAUACAAAGUUUCACUGUUACAGCUUUAAAAAUGACGAAUUUCUAUAUGAACAUUCAUCCCCCCUUUUUACCCAUUCUCCCCUAUUUUUAGCAAUAAAAGCCUAUGUUGUUCCUCAGGGUCUAUUCUAUCUCUGUAGCAAAUUUCAUCAAAAUCGGUUCUCUGGUUUGGCGUGAAAGCGUAACAGACGGACAGUCAGACAGACAGAGUUACUAUCACAUUUAUAAUAUUAGUAAGGAUUACAAUCAACACAAUAAGCAAACAAUAGAGAACUCCAAGUCUAUUAAAUUAAUUACACGUUGUCUUACAUGGAAACAGAAGUGUACAAGUUCUCGCGCCCUCAGUCUUACUAGCCAUUUCGCGUGAAACGGUCGUGAGCUCUCAAAAACUGCUCCCGUCAACGCGUAACGCGUAAGACACCGACGUCAUCAAUUGUCCACUAAGUUCCUGCUCAAAAGAAAAUGUGUGACACGCUACCGGCAAGAGCAACGCUGGCUAACGGACUGGUGCUCCGUCGGUCUCGACCGGCUCGGUCGUGCUCAAUGCCGGAGCAGCGCACUUGUCGCUCGCUCAGCCGCGGCAGCCGUGGCAGCGGCAGACAAAGAUACAACAGUAUGCCGCCGGUGCGAGCUGCUCGAUCAUGUGUAAGUUUCACAUUAUGGUACUGUAAUGACCUCACACUCACCACGACAAUUUGAGCUACGCAAUCUACAUUUGUUUUUCAGUCCAAGUUUUUUUACGCUUUAAUCGUCUCGUCUUGCACUUUAAAUUGUAGUUUGUGUAGAAAAAUCAUGCCUUUUUUAAUUUUAUUGUUGGAGUUACGUAUGUACAUCGCGUCCACUUAGAUACUUUUAUAAUGCAAGUAUGUGUUGUGUGUCGUUGUUAUGUUUUUGUGUGGCAUUAAUUUUAUAUUUAUAGUAUAAGAUUGUCGUUGUACAAACAAAUGGAUAGUUUGUGUUACAUAUCGCGAUUGGAAAAUUUCGCUGAGCUCCAUAUUGAAUGAUCGAAUUGUUGUCCUGUCCAUCGCUAAUGUGAUUUAUUCUAUAAAUAUUAGAUAAAAGUCAGUUCAUACUAGCGCAGAGUCCAAUCGCAUCGAAGCGUCUUUCCAGAACUGAACAUAACAAAUUCAACCUUAACUCCACGUUACUUCUGAGAUUUUAAAAAUGCGCGCGCAUUCAUCAGGCUUCUCUUCUGCGCGUGAACAACGCCGAUUGGUGCGCGCGCAUUCUCGCGUGUCCAUGCGCCCACUAGCGUCAUCAGUUGGAAAUUGGCCUGCGUCGGUGUUGAUCACAAUGGACUAUCGCGCGAAUUCCAACGAAUGCGCGCGUAUUCGCUGGAAUUCACUUUGGUAGUAAAGAAUUUGACGCUUAGAUGCGCUUCGACUCUGCACUAAUAUAAAUCGAACCAAAAUUUUCUGAGUUCUAAUCUUCAAAAUGUUUAUUCGUAUCCGAAAUAUUUUGCUAAUACAAUUGUCUGAAUCUCGCCUCAAGGUCAGUUGUCUUGUAAUAAACUCAUUUAACUACUACAGGCGCCCCGCCCCGGCUUUGCAUGGGUGCAAUGGUGAUAUAUUAUGCCUGCAUUAUACAUAUAAACCUUCCUCUUGAAUCACUCUACCUAUUACAAAAAACCGCAUCAAAAUCCGUUGCGUAAUUUUAAAGAUUUAAGCAUACCUACAGACAAACAGGCAAAAAUAGCGACUUUGUUUUAUACUAUGUAGUGAAGAUGUAUAGUUUCUUGUAUCCAGUUCGUCGAUGCAAAAUUCUGUGAUGCUCUAAGUUUGA
This is a long non-coding RNA of Spodoptera frugiperda (fall armyworm), 6951 nucleotides long. RefSeq lists it as uncharacterized. The record is from RefSeq and is a predicted model, not a curated record. The transcript is spliced from 3 exons. Lineage: Eukaryota; Metazoa; Arthropoda; Insecta; Lepidoptera; Noctuidae.